This 918-nucleotide ribosomal RNA is filed under the name Exophiala xenobiotica. RNAcentral's name for it is "LSU rRNA". It matches the Rfam family "Eukaryotic large subunit ribosomal RNA", at positions 35 to 966 of the family's 3401-position model. Lineage: Eukaryota; Fungi; Ascomycota; Eurotiomycetes; Chaetothyriales; Herpotrichiellaceae. The record is from RNAcentral.
UAAGCAUAUCAAUAAGCGGAGGAAAAGAAACCAACAGGGAUUGCCUCAGUAACGGCGAGUGAAGCGGCAACAGCUCAAAUUUGAAAUCUGGCCUCUUUGGGGUCCGAGUUGUAAUUUGUAGAGGAUGUUUCGGGUACCGCCUCGGUCUAAAUUUCUUGGAACAGAAUGUCAAAGAGGGUGAGAAUCCCGUCUUGGACCGGCGGUAGGGCCCAUGUGAAACUCCUUCGACGAGUCGAGUUGUUUGGGAAUGCAGCUCAAAAUGGGUGGUAAAUUUCAUCUAAAGCUAAAUAUUGGCCAGAGACCGAUAGCGCACAAGUAGAGUGAUCGAAAGAUGAAAAGCACUUUGAAAAGAGAGUUAAACAGUAUGUGAAAUUGUUGAAAGGGAAGCGCUUGCAACCAGACUUGAGCGCGGCGGUUCCCCCUUCCUUUUGGUUGGGUUACUCCGCCGUGUCCAGGCCAACAUCGGUUCUGGGGGUCGGUUAAAGGCUCGAGGAAUGUAUCUACUCCUUCGGGGGUAGACUUAUAGCCUCGGGUGUCAUGCGACCUCCCGGGACCGAGGAACGCGCUUCGGCUCGGAUGUUGGCGUAAUGGUUGUCAGCGACCCGUCUUGAAACACGGACCAAGGAGUCUAACAUCUAUGCGAGUGUUUGGGUGUCAAACCCGGAACGCGGAAUGAAAGUGAACGGAGGUAGGAAGCCGCAAGGCUGCACUAUCGACCGAUCCUGAUGUCUUCGGAUGGAUUUGAGUAAGAGCAUAGCUGUUGGGACCCGAAAGAUGGUGAACUAUGCCUGAAUAGGGUGAAGCCAGAGGAAACUCUGGUGGAGGCUCGCAGCGGUUCUGACGUGCAAAUCGAUCGUCAAAUUUGGGUAUAGGGGCGAAAGACUAAUCGAACCAUCUGGUAGCUGGUUCCUGCCGAAG